AUUGAACGCUGGCGGCAGGCUUAACACAUGCAAGUCGAGCGGGGGAAGGUAGCUUGCUACCGGACCUAGCGGCGGACGGGUGAGUAAUGCUUAGGAAUCUGCCUAUUAGUGGGGGACAACAUCUCGAAAGGGAUGCUAAUACCGCAUACGUCCUACGGGAGAAAGCAGGGGAUCUUCGGACCUUGCGCUAAUAGAUGAGCCUAAGCCGGAUUAGCUAGUUGGUGGGGUAAAGGCCUACCAAGGCGACGAUCUGUAGCGGGUCUGAGAGGAUGAUCCGCCACACUGGGACUGAGACACGGCCCAGGCUCCUACGGGAGGCAGCAGUGGGGAAUAUUGGACAAUGGGGGGAACCCUGAUCCAGCCAUGCCGCGUGUGUGAAGAAGGCCUUAUGGUUGUAAAGCACUUUAAGCGAGGAGGAGGCUACUUUAGUUAAUACCUAGAGAUAGUGGACGUUACUCGCAGAAUAAGCACCGGCUAACUCUGUGCCAGCCGCCGCGGUAA
RNAcentral lists this ribosomal RNA (501 nucleotides) under uncultured bacterium. Its description in RNAcentral is "partial 16S ribosomal RNA". It matches the Rfam family "Bacterial small subunit ribosomal RNA", at positions 30 to 523 of the family's 1533-position model. The record is from RNAcentral.